CCUACGGGUGGCAGCAGUGGGGAAUAUUGCACAAUGGGGGAAACCCUGAUGCAGCGACGCCGCGUGAGUGAAGAAGUAAUUCGUUAUGUAAAGCUCUAUCAGCAGGGAAGAAAAUGACGGUACGUGAGUAAGAAGCCCCGGCUAACUACGUGCCAGCAGCCGCGGUAAUACGUAGGGGGCAAGCGUUAGCCGGAUUUACUGGGUGUAAAGGGAGCGUAGACGGCAGUGCAAGGCUGGAGUGAAAGGCGGGGGCUCAACCCCCGGACUGCUUUGGAAACUGUGUAACUGGAGUACAGGAGGGGCAGGCGGAAUUCCUGGUGUAGCGGUGAAAUGCGUAGAUAUCAGGAGGAACACCGGCGGCGAAGGCGGCCUGCUGGACUGAAACUGACGUUGAGGCUCGAAAGCGUGGGGAGCAAACAGGAUUAGAUACCCGUGUAGUC
This 440-nucleotide ribosomal RNA is filed under the name uncultured bacterium. RNAcentral describes it as "partial 16S ribosomal RNA". It matches the Rfam family "Bacterial small subunit ribosomal RNA", at positions 338 to 795 of the family's 1533-position model. The record is from RNAcentral.